UAGCCAGUCACGCAACCGCCCUAAGCCGGAGCGAGCGCCCUUCGUCAGAGCCCGCGCGCGCCCUCCUCCUUCCCUUUCUCUCAGCCCUACACCCCACCCUAUUGGACAAGUCCCUGCCAGUGCCGCGCGCAGAGCCACGCCCACAAACCACUCAGGGGCGCUCUGUGCGCAGGCGCGGGUUUGUUGACGUCAUAGAAAGGUGAAAGGAAAGCGAGGCGGGGAGGAAUAGCGCUUUUUCCUGCGAGUGGGGCGGCUAUUUCAUUGUAGUAACGGGAGAGGACAAAGCCAACAAUGGGAAAGCUGCCAAAUGGAAAAAAAGAAUAUUCAAAAGCCACUGAGUCAAAGAUUUUAUUGAAAAACAGAAAAUAAGAAAAUGUUCUAGAUUUCUCAGCUACAGCACCGUUCCAAACAUGUCUUGUUGCAGACCUGGGUCAGGAGCUGCCUUUCUUCUGCCCAGCUUGGAUCAGAAUCUUCCUUGUUCUGUCCUCUUAGUUCCCAGAAUCUGAUUCCUGCUGACUUCAGUAAACUUGACCACACUGCAGUUCAACCCUGUUUUCUGGUCCUAGCAGAAGAGUUUACGGGAUGCUACUGUUUCUCUGUAAUCAACUAUCCCAUGUUGUGUUUCCUUAUUUUUUAAAUUUAGUCUGAAUGUCUUAUGUUUUGCUAAGUAACCUUUUCUUAAGUUUCUUAAGCAAUCUUGGAAGAAGUGAACAUUUGUUUGUUAACAUCUGCAGAGUAUAUUUCUUUUCAUGAUGGGAUGUUUAUCUUCCUGUUCAGCAAUUAUGUCUUUAAUAAUGUACAACAUACAACUUUUCCUUUGUCAGGAGUUAAUCUGAGUCCUAUAGUUUAUCCCAAGCUAUUUUUAUGAUAUGUUACCUAAUGACAAUGGUCUAUUCAGUUAUAUCAGGAGGUUUUGUUCUUUUUGAUAUGCCAGGUUUAAUUGGCUUUAAAUAGUCUGCUUUUACUUUUAAUUACUUUGAACAAUAAGGAACAGCAUUAAAGUAACUAGUAAACAUAUUUUCUUAUUUGAUCUCACAUAUGGACUUUUAAAGAAUUGUGAAGGGAAUGCUUUCAGUUCCUGGGGGUAUACAACUCGUAAAUUUGUCAUAGCCACAUUUCUCCCUGUCUUUGAAAGAGCAGUGAGUGACUGUGCACAAAUGUAUUUGGUUGAUUUAAAUUCUACUUCAUACUAGAGCACUUCUGAGUAGCUCAUUCAGCUGCCUAAUUUUUUACAUUGGAAGAUUGGAGGAUGAACUUCCUUUUGGUGCUGUUCAUGUUUAUAAACCCUGCCACCCUUUUUUGUCCGGUUGUUGACUGGGUCAGAAAGCUCACCAUCAGCUGUAAAGGAUUCAAUGGUGUUGAUGAGCGGGUCAGCCGCCUGGCCUUGACUACAUUCCACAGCCCGGG
Long non-coding RNA from Sphaerodactylus townsendi, 1407 nucleotides. RefSeq lists it as uncharacterized. The record is from RefSeq and is a predicted model, not a curated record. The transcript is spliced from 4 exons. NCBI's taxonomy places the organism in Eukaryota, Metazoa, Chordata, Lepidosauria, Squamata, Sphaerodactylidae.